RNAcentral lists this ribosomal RNA (465 nucleotides) under Vreelandella stevensii. Its description in RNAcentral is "partial 16S ribosomal RNA". It matches the Rfam family "Bacterial small subunit ribosomal RNA", at positions 338 to 795 of the family's 1533-position model. Lineage: Bacteria; Pseudomonadati; Pseudomonadota; Gammaproteobacteria; Oceanospirillales; Halomonadaceae. The record is from RNAcentral.
CCUACGGGUGGCAGCAGUGGGGAAUAUUGGACAAUGGGCGAAAGCCUGAUCCAGCCAUGCCGCGUGUGUGAAGAAGGCCUUCGGGUUGUAAAGCACUUUCAGUGGGGAAGAAAGCCUUGGGGCUAAUACCCUCGAGGAAGGACAUCACCCACAGAAGAAGCACCGGCUAACUCCGUGCCAGCAGCCGCGGUAAUACGGAGGGUGCGAGCGUUAAUCGGAAUUACUGGGCGUAAAGCGCGCGUAGGCGGUCUGAUAAGCCGGUUGUGAAAGCCCCGGGCUCAACCUGGGAACGGCAUCCGGAACUGUCAGGCUAGAGUGCAGGAGAGGAAGGUAGAAUUCCCGGUGUAGCGGUGAAAUGCGUAGAGAUCGGGAGGAAUACCAGUGGCGAAGGCGGCCUUCUGGACAGACACUGACGCUGAGGUGCGAAAGCGUGGGUAGCAAACAGGAUUAGAUACCCGGGUAGUC